RNAcentral lists this long non-coding RNA (204 nucleotides) under Capsicum annuum. RNAcentral's name for it is "long non-coding RNA (CANN_LNC017835)". The record is from RNAcentral. Lineage: Eukaryota; Viridiplantae; Streptophyta; Magnoliopsida; Solanales; Solanaceae.
GACAAAUAAAACCGUGUUCAUAGGAUUGUAAAUUUUUUUUGUGAUUACAACUCCGUAAAUCAUCAUGUUAAUAAAACUUGCGGCUGCAAAGAAGAAAACAUCACCAGUAAGAGCCCGUGUUUGUUGGAGUAUUAUUUUUUUUUUUUUUUGCUGUUGAAAGAUUUAAGAUCGGAAGUAUGCGUUUGCUUUAAAGGAGGUGUUGAG